Mya arenaria is the source of this 524-nucleotide long non-coding RNA. RefSeq lists it as uncharacterized. The record is from RefSeq and is a predicted model, not a curated record. NCBI's taxonomy places the organism in Eukaryota, Metazoa, Mollusca, Bivalvia, Myida, Myidae. The transcript is spliced from 3 exons.
AGGUUAAGAGACCGCCACCUCCGAAGCCCCAGGACGACCCCGUACGCAGCAUAUGGACCCUAAUGUUAGCUCAAAUGUGGCAGACAACAGAGAAAUCGAGCUGCCGGCGUUGGAAAAGGAUUGAACCAGCGACUCUCUGAUGCAGUGUCCGAUAUGCUUGCUACUCGACCACCGGGGCAACUGACGGUCCACGCUGACGCCAUCAUGAGGGUCGACGACGAGGUCGGCUGAUACCGACUCAGCUAUCGACGGGACACCUUCGAUGUCAUCGCCAGUGGCAACGUCUCAUUUUACGGCCCACGUCGGGAUGUCGAUAAGGUCCAGUCUGUUGCGGGACCGUGAGUCUGCCUACGGGGCCGUGACAGGAAAGUCCCCUGAAUGUGAAGUACAAGGUCUAGCGAGACGGUGUCCAGGCCGGACAUCGAUGCUACGAAGGAGCUACAAAACGACGGUCCCUUGUGGUGUGAUAGCCUACAUGACGGAGUGUCCCGAAUUGCGUAGCAGGUCUUUAUCCAAUGGCAAGA